Molecule: long non-coding RNA, 262 nt
Filed under: Homo sapiens (human)
Lineage: Eukaryota; Metazoa; Chordata; Mammalia; Primates; Hominidae
Description: non-protein coding lnc-MPPE1-10:2
Source: RNAcentral
GUUCAGACAAAGCAAUAAGAUGACGAAUCAAGCUCUCUCCAGAGAUGAAAGAAAAGCCAGUCUCAAAGAUGACUAUAACUAACGCUGUUGCUGGAAAGACAAGGGCACCGAGCCAGCCCUGGGAGAGGCUCCACUUCUUCAAAGACAAAACGAUUCCAAACGUGGCAGGACACAGUGCUCACCCUACAGUGAACCUCUGGGAAUAUGUUAUUUUUUAAAGAAACAACAGCUUUCAGAGAUUAGUUUCCUUCUGUCUGUCCCA